CCCGGAUAGACAGUCCAGCAGGUAAAAUAAAGCUUGACUAUAAUUUGAUCUCUCAGCAAGUAGUCCGAUUAGAGUCAGUCAGGUAGUGAGUUAGGGCGCUCUUAGCCUUUCUUUGCUUGAUUUCCAUUCUUAUCUCAUCUAUCUUGGAUUUCGCCCCUUGAGAAAAUGGAUUCUCAAAAAGAGUUGACCAGGCCUUGUAGAAGCGAAGAUCGAUGUCCGUCCCAGUCUCAUUCAACUAAUACCGUGGACCGACUCCUUUCAUGCCUCAC
Molecule: long non-coding RNA, 269 nt
Filed under: Gossypium barbadense (sea-island cotton)
Lineage: Eukaryota; Viridiplantae; Streptophyta; Magnoliopsida; Malvales; Malvaceae
Description: long non-coding RNA (GBAR_LNC020864)
Source: RNAcentral